AGGGUGACAGCCCCGUACACAAAAAUGCACAUGCUGUGAGCUCGAUGAGUAGGGCGGGACACGUGGUAUCCUGUCUGAAUAUGGGGGGACCAUCCUCCAAGGCUAAAUACUCCUGACUGACCGAUAGUGAACCAGUACCGUGAGGGAAAGGCGAAAAGAACCCCGGCGAGGGGAGUGAAAAAGAACCUGAAACCGUGUACGUACAAGCAGUGGGAGCCUCUUAAUGGGGUGACUGCGUACCUUUUGUAUAAUGGGUCAGCGACUUAUAUUCUGUAGCAAGGUUAACCGAAUAGGGGAGCCGAAGGGAAACCGAGUCUUAACUGGGCGUUAAGUUGCAGGGUAUAGACCCGAAACCCGGUGAUCUAGCCAUGGGCAGGUUGAAGGUUGGGUAACACUAACUGGAGGACCGAACCGACUAAUGUUGAAAAAUUAGCGGAUGACUUGUGGCUGGGGGUGAAAGGCCAAUCAAACCGGGAGAUAGCUGGUUCUCCCCGAAAGCUAUUUAGGUAGCGCCUCGUGAAUUCAUCUCCGGGGGUAGAGCACUGUUUCGGCAAGGGGGUCAUCCCGACUUACCAACCCGAUGCAAACUGCGAAUACCGGAGAAUGUUAUCACGGGAGACACACGGCGGGUGCUAACGUCCGUCGUGAAGAGGGAAACAACCCAGACCGCCAGCUAAGGUCCCAAAGUCAUGGUUAAGUGGGAAACGAUGUGGGAAGGCCCAGACAGCCAGGAUGUUGGCUUAGAAGCAGCCAUCAUUUAAAGAAAGCGUAAUAGCUCACUGGUCGAGUCGGCCUGCGCGGAAGAUGUAACGGGGCUAAACCAUGCACCGAAGCUGCGGCAGCGACACUAUGUGUUGUUGGGUAGGGGAGCGUUCUGUAAGCCUGUGAAGGUGGCCUGUGAGGGUUGCUGGAGGUAUCAGAAGUGCGAAUGCUGACAUAAGUAACGAUAAAGCGGGUGAAAAGCCCGCUCGCCGGAAGACCAAGGGUUCCUGUCCAACGUUAAUCGGGGCAGGGUGAGUCGACCCCUAAGGCGAGGCCGAAAGGCGUAGUCGAUGGGAAACAGGUUAAUAUUCCUGUACUUGGUGUUACUGCGAAGGGGGGACGGAGAAGGCUAUGUUGGCCGGGCGACGGUUGUCCCGGUUUAAGCGUGUAGGCUGGUUUUCCAGGCAAAUCCGGAAAACCAAGGCUGAGGCGUGAUGACGAGGCACUACGGUGCUGAAGUGACAAAUGCCCUGCUUCCAGGAAAAGCCUCUAAGCAUCAGGUAACAUCAAAUCGUACCCCAAACCGACACAGGUGGUCAGGUAGAGAAUACCAAGGCGCUUGAGAGAACUCGGGUGAAGGAACUAGGCAAAAUGGUGCCGUAACUUCGGGAGAAGGCACGCUGAUAUGUAGGUGAAGCGACUUGCUCGUGGAGCUGAAAUCAGUCGAAGAUACCAGCUGGCUGCAACUGUUUAUUAAAAACACAGCACUGUGCAAACACGAAAGUGGACGUAUACGGUGUGACGCCUGCCCGGUGCCGGAAGGUUAAUUGAUGGGGUUAGCGGUAACGCGAAGCUCUUGAUCGAAGCCCCGGUAAACGGCGGCCGUAACUAUAACGGUCCUAAGGUAGCGAAAUUCCUUGUCGGGUAAGUUCCGACCUGCACGAAUGGCGUAAUGAUGGCCAGGCUGUCUCCACCCGAGACUCAGUGAAAUUGAACUCGCUGUGAAGAUGCAGUGUACCCGCGGCAAGACGGAAAGACCCCGUGAACCUUUACUAUAGCUUGACACUGAACAUUGAGCCUUGAUGUGUAGGAUAGGUGGGAGGCUUUGAAGUGUGGACGCCAGUCUGCAUGGAGCCGACCUUGAAAUACCACCCUUUAAUGUUUGAUGUUCUAACGUUGGCCCCUAAUCGGGGUUGCGGACAGUGUCUGGUGGGUAGUUUGACUGGGGCGGUCUCCUCCUAAAGAGUAACGGAGGAGCACGAAGGUUGGCUAAUCCUGGUCGGACAUCAGGAGGUUAGUGCAAUGGCAUAAGCCAGCUUGACUGCGAGCGUGACGGCGCGAGCAGGUGCGAAAGCAGGUCAUAGUGAUCCGGUGGUUCUGAAUGGAAGGGCCAUCGCUCAACGGAUAAAAGGUACUCCGGGGAUAACAGGCUGAUACCGCCCAAGAGUUCAUAUCGACGGCGGUGUUUGGCACCUCGAUGUCGGCUCAUCACAUCCUGGGGCUGAAGUAGGUCCCAAGGGUAUGGCUGUUCGCCAUUUAAAGUGGUACGCGAGCUGGGUUUAGAACGUCGUGAGACAGUUCGGUCCCUAUCUGCCGUGGGCGCUGGAGAACUGAGGGGGGCUGCUCCUAGU
RNAcentral lists this ribosomal RNA (2333 nucleotides) under Escherichia coli. Its description in RNAcentral is "partial 23S ribosomal RNA". It matches the Rfam family "Bacterial large subunit ribosomal RNA", at positions 361 to 2682 of the family's 2925-position model. Lineage: Bacteria; Pseudomonadati; Pseudomonadota; Gammaproteobacteria; Enterobacterales; Enterobacteriaceae. The record is from RNAcentral.